Molecule: ribosomal RNA, 498 nt
Filed under: uncultured Actinomycetes bacterium
Lineage: Bacteria; Bacillati; Actinomycetota; Actinomycetes
Description: bacterial SSU rRNA
Rfam family: Bacterial small subunit ribosomal RNA
Source: RNAcentral
GCACCUUCGGGUGUGAAUUAGCGGCGAACGGGUGAGGAACACGUGAGAAAUCUGCCUUCAACACUGGGAUAACUCCGGGAAACCGGGGCUAAUACCGGAUAUGAAACCUGCGGGCAUCCGCGGGUUUGGAAAGUUUUUCGGUUGAAGAUGAUCUCGCGGCCUAUCAGCUUGUUGGUGAGGUAAUGGCUCACCAAGGCGACGACGGGUAGCCGGCCUGAGAGGGCGACCGGCCACACUGGGACUGAGACACGGCCCAGACUCCUACGGGAGGCAGCAGUGGGGAAUAUUGGGCAAUGGAGGAAACUCUGACCCAGCGACGCCGCGUGCGGGAUGAAGGCCUUCGGGUUGUAAACCGCUUUCAGCAGGGAAGAAGCGAAAGUGACGGUACCUGCAGAAGAAGCACCGGCUAACUAUGUGCCAGCAGCCGCGGUAAUACAUAGGGUGCAAGCGUUGUCCGGAAUUAUUGGGCGUAAAGAGCUCGUAGGUGGUUCGUCACGU